UACGGAGGAUCCGAGCGUUAUCCGGAUUUAUUGGGUUUAAAGGGUGCGCAGGCGGGAGAUUAAGUCGGCGGUGAAAUUUUGCAGCUCAACUGUAAAAGUGCCUUCGAAACUGGUUUCCUUGAGUGUAGAUGAAGUAGGCGGAAUUUGUGGUGUAGCGGUGAAAUGCAUAGAUAUCACGAGGAACUCCGAUUGCGCAGGCAGCUUACUAAACCAUAACUGACGCUCAGGCACGAGGGCGUGGGGAUCAAACAGGAUUAGAUACCCGCGUAGU
This 271-nucleotide ribosomal RNA is filed under the name uncultured prokaryote. Its description in RNAcentral is "partial 16S ribosomal RNA". It matches the Rfam family "Bacterial small subunit ribosomal RNA", at positions 524 to 794 of the family's 1533-position model. The record is from RNAcentral.